This is a long non-coding RNA of Pan troglodytes (chimpanzee), 1019 nucleotides long. The record is from Ensembl. Lineage: Eukaryota; Metazoa; Chordata; Mammalia; Primates; Hominidae.
GGCAGAAUUGUAUGACAUUUAUCUUUUAUCCAUCUCCAGUGUGUAGCACAGUGGUUGCGGCUUCUUCUUAAAAGUUGAACUAAUGAAUUAAUGAAUGAGCCAUUUGAAAUUUGUUCUCUCCUCAUGAACUAUAACAGGGUUGUUUCCCAGACAAAUUACCCAAGCUGUUGGAGCACUUGGGAUCAUAGCUUCUUCUUGGUUCUCUCCCUCCCAAGAGAAGAAGGUGAUCGGCACUAAGCCAGGAAGGUUUGGAGAGGCUCUGAGGAGGAGCAGGAACAAGAGCUGAUGGAACUGUGCAAGCACGACUUUGGAAGAUUCUGAGAACAAGCAGAGUCAUUUGAACUAGGGGAUGAGAUGUGGUAUGGAAUUAGGGAAAAGGCCAUUCUCCCUGCCUCUCAUGGGACCCAGAACCACUUGGGCCCCCUGAAAAUGUACAGCUUUAGAAGUCCCUGGAGAUGGAGGUCUGGCAAUGGUGUUAUCAUGCUUAUGAUGGUGCCUCUGCCGUGGCAACAGCAAGGCUUCCCAAGUUGCAGAGAGCAGCAAGAGAAAGUCAGAGCUGGAGAGCACAUGCCUGUCAGUAAAUCCAAGAACAGGCAGGAAGCACAAAGGGGACCCGCACUCAGUGCUCAAUGGUGCCCAGGCUGGAGUGCAGUGGCGUGAUCUCGGCUCGCUACAACCUCCACCUCCCAGCAGCCUGCCUUGGCCUCCCAAAGUGCUGAGAUUACAGCCUCUGCCCGGCCGCCACCCCGUCUGGGAAGUGAGGAGCGUCUCCGCCUGGCCGCCCAUCGUCUGGGAUGUGAGGAGCCCCUCUGCCUGGCUGCCCAGUCUGGAAAGUGAGGAGCGUCUCUGCCCGGCUGCCAUCCCAUCUAGGAAGUGAGGAGCGCCUCUUCCCGGCCGCCAUCACAUCUGGGAAGUGAGGAGCGUCUCUGCCCGGCCGCCCAUCGUCUGAGAUGUGGGGAGCACCUCUGCCCUGUCGCCCCGCGGGAUGUGUAGGAGCGUCUCUUGCCCGGCCCCGUCUG